CCCUUAGAUGUUCUGGGCUGCACGCGCGCUACACUGAAGCUAUCAACACGUUUUCCCUCCCUGAGAAGGGCGGGUAACCUUUUGAAUCAGCUUCGUGGUAGGGAUCGGGACUUGCAAUUGUUCCCCGUGAACCAGGAAUUCCUAGUAGACGCGAGUCAUAAGCUCGCAUCGAUUAAGUCCCUGCCCUUUGUACACACCGCCCGUCGCUACUACCGAUUGAACGUUUUAGUGAGGCAUUUGGACCGACGCAUCUCAGUUUAACCGCUGGUUUGUGUUGGAAAGACUUCCAAACUUGAGCGUUUAGAGGAAGUAAAAGUCGUAACA
Molecule: ribosomal RNA, 324 nt
Filed under: uncultured eukaryote
Lineage: Eukaryota
Description: partial 18S ribosomal RNA
Rfam family: Eukaryotic small subunit ribosomal RNA
Source: RNAcentral